RNAcentral lists this ribosomal RNA (354 nucleotides) under bacterium LimA-100-J-167. RNAcentral's name for it is "bacterial SSU rRNA". It matches the Rfam family "Bacterial small subunit ribosomal RNA", at positions 294 to 640 of the family's 1533-position model. RNAcentral also lists the same sequence under 1 other name. The record is from RNAcentral.
GAGUGGAUGAUCCGCCACACUGGGACUGAGACACGGCCCAGACUCCUACGGGAGGCAGCAGUGGGGAAUUUUGGACAAUGGGCGUAAGCCUGAUCCAGCCAUGCCGCGUGUCUGAAGAAGGCCUUCGGGUUGUAAAGGACUUUUGUCCGGGAGCAAAUCCCAGUGGUUAAUACCUACUGGGGCUGAGAGUACCGGAAGAAUAAGCACCGGCUAACUACGUGCCAGCAGCCGCGGUAAUACGUAGGGUGCAAGCGUUAAUCGGAAUUACUGGGCGUAAAGCGUGCGCAGGCGGUUGUGCAAGUCUGAUGUGAAAGCCCCGGGCUUAACCUGGGAACGGCAUUGGAGACUGCACGA